UACCGGCGGCUCGAGUGGUGGCCACUAUUACUGGGCUUAAAGCGUUCGUAGCUGGUCUGUUAAGUCUCUGGGGAAAUCUACUGGCUUAACCAAUAGGCGUCUCAGGGAUACUGGCAGACUAGGGACCGGGAGAGGUGAGAGGUACUCCAGGGGUAGGAGUGAAAUCCUGUAAUCCUUGGGGGACCACCUGUGGCGAAGGCGUCUCACCAGAACGGCUCCGACAGUGAGGGACGAAAGCUGGGGGAGCAAACCGGAUUAGAUACCCGGGUAGUCCCAGCCGUAAACGAUGCGCGUUAGGUGUAUCGAUGACCACGAGUCAUCGAGGUGCCGAAGAGAAAUCGUGAAACGUGCCGCCUGGGAAGUACGGUCGCAAGGCUGAAACUUAAAGGAAUUGGCGGGGGAGCACCACAACAGGUGGAGCCUGCGGUUUAAUCGGACUCAACGCCGGAAAUCUCACCGGAUAAGACAGCUGUAUGAUAGUCGGGCUGAAGACUCUACUUGACUAGCU
Molecule: ribosomal RNA, 508 nt
Filed under: uncultured archaeon
Lineage: Archaea
Description: bacterial SSU rRNA
Rfam family: Archaeal small subunit ribosomal RNA
Source: RNAcentral